Molecule: ribosomal RNA, 183 nt
Filed under: Odorrana livida (green cascade frog)
Lineage: Eukaryota; Metazoa; Chordata; Amphibia; Anura; Ranidae
Description: partial 16S ribosomal RNA
Source: RNAcentral
GCCUCAAACCUAGCCCACACGACCCGCAUGACGCCCACAAACUACUGUAAAAAACAAAACAUUUUAACAUUUUAGUAUAGGCGAUAGAAACAUUACUAAGCGCUUUAGAUAAAGUACCGCAAGGGAAAUAUGAAAUAGAAAUGAAAUAAUACUUCAGCCACAAAUAGCAGAGACACCCCCUCG